Molecule: ribosomal RNA, 458 nt
Filed under: Enterobacter cloacae
Lineage: Bacteria; Pseudomonadati; Pseudomonadota; Gammaproteobacteria; Enterobacterales; Enterobacteriaceae
Description: bacterial SSU rRNA
Rfam family: Bacterial small subunit ribosomal RNA
Source: RNAcentral
CGAGCACGCAGGCGGUCUGUCAAGUCGGAUGUGAAAUCCCCGGGCUCAACCUGGGAACUGCAUUCGAAACUGGCAGGCUAGAGUCUUGUAGAGGGGGGUAGAAUUCCAGGUGUAGCGGUGAAAUGCGUAGAGAUCUGGAGGAAUACCGGUGGCGAAGGCGGCCCCCUGGACAAAGACUGACGCUCAGGUGCGAAAGCGUGGGGAGCAAACAGGAUUAGAUACCCUGGUAGUCCACGCCGUAAACGAUGUCGACUUGGAGGUUGUGCCCUUGAGGCGUGGCUUCCGGAGCUAACGCGUUAAGUCGACCGCCUGGGGAGUACGGCCGCAAGGUUAAAACUCAAAUGAAUUGACGGGGGCCCGCACAAGCGGUGGAGCAUGUGGUUUAAUUCGAUGCAACGCGAAGAACCUUACCUACUCUUGACAUCCAGAGAACUUUGCAGAGAUGGUUUGGUGCCUUC